GAUUUGUCUGGUUAAUUCCGAUAACGAACGAGACUCUAGCCUAUUAAAUAGAUGAUAUAUCGUCUUCGUAUAUCAAGCUUCUUAAAGGGACGAGCAGCUUCUAGCUGCACGAGAUUGAGCAAUAACAGGUCUGUGAUGCCCUUAGAUGUCCGGGGCUGCACGCGCGCUACAAUGAAAAUAGCAGCGCGUGUCGAAAACCUUUUCUGGAAAGAAUUGGUAAACGCUAAAUAUUUUCGUGAUAGGGAUAGGGGAUUGAAAUUAUUGCCCUUGAACGAGGAAUUCCCAGUAAGUUCGAGUCAUCAGCUCGAGUUGAUUACGUCCCUGCCCUUUGUA
Molecule: ribosomal RNA, 333 nt
Filed under: Mononchida sp. C10
Lineage: Eukaryota; Metazoa; Nematoda; Enoplea; Mononchida
Description: SSU rRNA
Rfam family: Eukaryotic small subunit ribosomal RNA
Source: RNAcentral